CAGUGCCGAAGCCGACUCCCAUGGUCUAUAUCCGACGCUAACGUACGGAAGCAUAGAGCCUGAUCGGCGAUUACAUACCCCGGUAAUCCACACUGUAAACGAUGGAUAGAUAGGUGUGGGAGCUGCAUUUAACCCUUCCAGGCAGAAGCAAACGCAGUAAGUUUCCCGCAUGGGGACUCCGACCGCAAGGUUGGGACUCGAAGGAAUCUGUCGAGCAUCCGCACAAACACCAGAGCAUGUGUAGUACUUCAGCUGAUACGCGAAAGUACCUGACAUUGGCUUUGACAUAUUGGUAGUAGUGAAGCGAAAGACUGGAACGACCAUUCGGGGAACCAUCAUAGUUACUGCAUGUCGGUAGUCAGUUCGUUUCGUGAGAUGUUGGGUUAAAUCCCGCUACGAGCGCAACCCUUGUCGAUUAGUUAUAUGUGUGUAGAUGAGUCUCCCGGUAUCAAACCAGGAAGAGAAGGUGGAGAAGAUCUCAUCUUAGCAUCGCUCUAUAUAUCCAGGGAUACACACACGAUACUAGUGACCGGUACAAUAGAUUGAUACACCGAGAGGUGGAGCUUAUCCCCAAACACGUCCUCAGUUCGGAUUGUAGUCUCCAAUUCGAUCGCAUGAAGUCGGAUUUGCUAGUAAUCCGCGAGUCACCUAUAGUGCGGUAUAUGCGUUCCCGCGGCGCCUUGUACACACCCCCUCUCACAUCAUGAGAGUCGUUUACACACUGAUGCUCGGUGACCUCCCCGCCAAGGAAGUAGCUGCCUAAGGUGGUGAUCGAUGACUGGGAUGAAGUCGU
RNAcentral lists this ribosomal RNA (793 nucleotides) under uncultured organism. RNAcentral's name for it is "bacterial SSU rRNA". It matches the Rfam family "Bacterial small subunit ribosomal RNA", at positions 710 to 1489 of the family's 1533-position model. The record is from RNAcentral.